Molecule: long non-coding RNA, 928 nt
Organism: Cavia porcellus (domestic guinea pig)
Lineage: Eukaryota; Metazoa; Chordata; Mammalia; Rodentia; Caviidae
Exons: 4
Source: RefSeq, a predicted model, not a curated record
CCCUUAGGGGACACACUCCAACCACACCCGAACCAUAGCAGAUCUGAACUAACCAAAGGUUCCAAACCUUUGUUUCCAAACCUGAGAACAUUUCUUCACUGUACCCAGCUAGGAAGGGUGAGGUCCCUGAGGUUCUGCAGGGGAAAUCCUACGUACCCACAGUCCUGCUCUGUCCCCAGCUCUGGUUCCAGGCACUGUGACCUCAGAGAAGACACAGUGCUGCUGUGAGGUCACAGUGGAGGGCAGGGUUAAAAGUCCCAGGCAACCCCAGGGGAUGGGCUGAGCAGCCUGCUGGCCGCCUUUGGAUACCCCAAGCCCUCAAGGAUCAGUCUGACCCAAGAAACCCGAGCUGCCAGAUGGGUGGGGGAGAUGAUUGUGUUCUGUCUGACAUCUGGGUUGCAUUAGCAGCCUGGGCGGCUGGCGCAGGAAUGGCCCUCCCCUGGGAUUGAGCCCUCUCCGACUUCUCCCAUGCCCGGCUUAACAGGACACCAAGUCACAGCUGUUGGCGACACGAAGCAGGAGCAACCUCCAGUUAAACUCCAGCCUGCUGAGCACCACAGAAUGGGUGACCCAGAGGAGCAAAGAAUAAUCAGGCCAGCAUCUUCUGAGCGCUCGCUGUGCACCCAGCCCUGUGCUCACCUCCGUCCGUUCACCAUGUGUGACGAGGGCAGGGAGAGCCUUGGCCCUUCAGGAGUUCCAGACAAAAUCAGGAUACAUCAGUGGGGCUGUGCCCAGCCCAUGAAUGAAGCAGAAAGACCUGAGUCCAGCACAGCCACUUCUGAUGAACAACAAGCAUGCUAUCUUGGCCUCCCAGGGCCCUGGACACAGCCCCACCCAACACAAUUCUGGCUCCCAACAUCUGGAAGGUGACACUUCAUGGGUUUUCAGAGCUUCCAGGAUUCCUUUGCCAUUACAUGUAUAAAAUAAA